AGAGUUUGAUCCUGGCUCAGGAUGAACGCUGGCGGCGUGCUUAACACAUGCAAGUCGAACGAUGAAGCCCAGCUUGCUGGGUGGAUUAGUGGCGAACGGGUGAGUAACACGUGAGUAACCUGCCCUUAACUCUGGGAUAAGCCUGGGAAACUGGGUCUAAUACCGGAUAGGAGCGUCCACCGCAUGGUGGGUGUUGGAAAGAUUUAUCGGUUUUGGAUGGACUCGCGGCCUAUCAGCUUGUUGGUGAGGUAAUGGCUCACCAAGGCGACGACGGGUAGCCGGCCUGAGAGGGUGACCGGCCACACUGGGACUGAGACACGGCCCAGACUCCUACGGGAGGCAGCAGUGGGGAAUAUUGCACAAUGGGCGAAAGCCUGAUGCAGCGACGCCGCGUGAGGGAUGACGGCCUUCGGGUUGUAAACCUCUUUCAGUAGGGAAGAAGCGAAAGUGACGGUACCUGCAGAAGAAGCACCGGCUAACUACGUGCCAGCAGCCGCGGUAAUACGUAGGGUGCGAGCGUUAUCCGGAAUUAUUGGGCGUAAAGAGCUCGUAGGCGGUUUGUCGCGUCUGUCGUGAAAGUCCGGGGCUUAACCCCGGAUCUGCGGUGGGUACGGGCAGACUAGAGUGCAGUAGGGGAGACUGGAAUUCCUGGUGUAGCGGUGGAAUGCGCAGAUAUCAGGAGGAACACCGAUGGCGAAGGCAGGUCCCUGGCUGUAACUGACGCUGAGGAGCGAAAGCAUGGGGAGCGAACAGGAUUAGAUACCCUGGUAGUCCAUGCCGUAAACGUUGGGCACUAGGUGUGGGGACCAUUCC
This 813-nucleotide ribosomal RNA is filed under the name uncultured bacterium. RNAcentral's name for it is "bacterial SSU rRNA". It matches the Rfam family "Bacterial small subunit ribosomal RNA", at positions 8 to 835 of the family's 1533-position model. The record is from RNAcentral.